GAUGAAGAACGCAGCGAAAUGCGAUAAGUAAUGCGAAUUGCAGAAUUCCAGUGAGUCAUCGAAUCUUUGAACGCACAUUGCGCCCUUUGGUAUUCCGAAGGGCAUGCCUGUUCGAGCGUCAUUAUCACCCCUCAAGCCCUCGGCUUGGUGUUGGACGGUUUGGUGGAGGCCCCCUCGGGGGCUCCUGCCCCUCCCAAAGACAAUGACGGCGGCCUCGUUGGACCCCCGGUACACUGAGUUCUUCACGGGACACGUAUCGGACACAUGGGUUUACGGGACACGGUCUGCCUCCCCUCAGGGAGAAUCUUUCUAAGGUUGACCUCGGAUCAGGUAGGGAUACCCGCUGAACUUAAGCAUAUCAAUAAGCGUAGG
RNAcentral lists this unclassified non-coding RNA (372 nucleotides) under soil metagenome. RNAcentral describes it as "partial contains 5.8S ribosomal RNA, internal transcribed spacer 2, and large subunit ribosomal RNA". The stretch from base 1 to 121 matches the Rfam family "5.8S ribosomal RNA", at positions 35 to 154 of the family's 154-position model. The record is from RNAcentral.